AACGUUGGCGGCGUGGAUUAGGCAUGCAAGUCGCACGAGAAACCAUUAGCUUGCUAAGAGGUGGACAGUGGCGCAAGGGAGAGUAACGCGUGGUUACUUGCCCUCGAGACCGGGAUAGUGUCGGGAAACUGGCAGUAAUACCGGAUAACAUCUUCGGAUCAAAUGGUGUGAUUCCGCUCGAGGAUAGGACCGCGUACUAUUAGCUUGUUGGUGAGGUAACGGCUCACCAAGGCUGCGAUGGUUACCGGGUGUGAGAGCAUGGCCCGGCUCACUGGGACUGAGACACUGCCCAGACACCUACGGGUGGCUGCAGUCGAGAAUCUUCGGCAAUGGACGAAAGUCUGACCGAGCGACGCCGCGUGCGGGAUGAAGGCCCUCGGGUUGUAAACCGCUGUCAGUAGUUAGGAAGUCCAUGAGGGUUAUCUCUCAUGGUUGACCGAUCUUCAGAGGAAGGACGGGCUAAGU
RNAcentral lists this ribosomal RNA (465 nucleotides) under uncultured Planctomycetaceae bacterium. Its description in RNAcentral is "bacterial SSU rRNA". It matches the Rfam family "Bacterial small subunit ribosomal RNA", at positions 32 to 502 of the family's 1533-position model. Lineage: Bacteria; Pseudomonadati; Planctomycetota; Planctomycetia; Planctomycetales; Planctomycetaceae. The record is from RNAcentral.